This 245-nucleotide ribosomal RNA is filed under the name uncultured bacterium. RNAcentral's name for it is "partial 16S ribosomal RNA". It matches the Rfam family "Bacterial small subunit ribosomal RNA", at positions 524 to 768 of the family's 1533-position model. The record is from RNAcentral.
UACGUAGGGUGCGAGCGUUAAUCGGAAUUACUGGGCGUAAAGCGUGCGCAGGCGGUUUCACAAGCUCGAUGUGAAAGCCCCGGGCUUAACCUGGGAAUGGCAUUGAGGACUGUGGAGCUUGAGUGCGGCAGAGGGAGGUGGAAUUCCACGUGUAGCAGUGAAAUGCGUAGAGAUGUGGAGGAACACCGAUGGCGAAGGCAGCCUCCUGGGCCGACACUGACGCUCAUGCACGAAAGCGUGGGGAG